GAUGAACGCUGGCGGCGUGCCUAAUACAUGCAAGUCGAGCGAACGGACGAGAAGCUUGCUUCUCUGACGUUAGCGGCGGACGGGUGAGUAACACGUGGAUAACCUCCCUAUAAGACUGGGAUAACUUCGGGAAACCGUAGCUAAUACCGGAUAAUAUUUUGAACCGCAUGGUUCAAAAGUGAAAGACGGUCUUGCUGUCACUUAUAGAUGGUUCCGCGCUGCAUUAGCUAGUUGGUAAGGUAACGGCUUACCAAGGCAACGAUGCAUAGCCGACCUGAGAGGGUGAUCGGCCACACUGGAACUGAGACACGGUCCAGACUCCUACGGGAGGCAGCAGUAGGGAACCUUCCGCAAUGGGCGAAAGCCUGACGGAGCAACGCCGCGUGAGUGAUGAAGGUCUUCGGAUCGUAAAACUCUGUUAUUAGGGAAGAACAUAUGUGUAAGUAACUGUGCACAUCUUGACGGUACCUAAUCAGAAAGCCACGGCUAACUACGUG
RNAcentral lists this ribosomal RNA (497 nucleotides) under uncultured bacterium. RNAcentral describes it as "partial 16S ribosomal RNA". It matches the Rfam family "Bacterial small subunit ribosomal RNA", at positions 28 to 507 of the family's 1533-position model. The record is from RNAcentral.